This 1044-nucleotide ribosomal RNA is filed under the name Triticum aestivum (bread wheat). RNAcentral describes it as "partial small subunit ribosomal RNA". Lineage: Eukaryota; Viridiplantae; Streptophyta; Magnoliopsida; Poales; Poaceae. The record is from RNAcentral.
AUGGGUGGUUCCAGCUGCUUCCUCUGCCUGGGGGCAAGGAAGGAAGUCCCACUGCCUCCCCGGGCCGACCCCCACAGCCGCAGCAGCGUCGCCGCCACCGCGGCACAACCCUUCGCCUUCGACGAGCUCGCUGCGGCGACCAGGAACUUCAGAGACGACUUCCGCAUCGUUCGGAAGGCGAUUCUCUACAAAGGCUACCUCAAAAGUGUCAAGCAGGUCGUUGCUAUAAAGCUGCAGCAUGCCCUUGAUCCUAUUGGAUCAUCAUCAGAGCAACUCAACACGGAGUUUCUUGCCCGUGUCAUGACAUUGAGCGCGCUGCGCCAUCUGAAUGUCGUCAACCUCAUUGGCUUCUGCGCAGACGGCGAUCACAGGAUCUUGGUUCACGAGUACAUGUCAUUGGGUUCUCUCCAAAAUCACCUUCAUGAUCGGUCUCCGGGCAAAGCACUGCUAGACUGGAACACAAGGAUGAAUAUAGCUGCCGGUGUGGCCAAGGGUUUGGAGUAUCUGCACCACAAAGGUGUGGUAUACCGCAAACCCAUGAGUAGCUCGGACAUCUUGCUCGGACAUGGCUACCACCCAAAGCUGUCCCAGUAUGGAUUGGCAGAGCUUGGUCAGCCAGUUGCGGAGGAUGAUGAGCAAUUGCGUAUCAAUGUCACCAGAACCGCUGCUAUUGCCCCCGAGACAACAUUUACCAGGAAGGCGACCAUGGAGUCGAACGUGUACAGCUUUGGCGGCGUGCUGCUGGAGUUGAUCACCGGGAGGAGGCCCGUCGAACCCGCCCCAGCCAUCGCUGAGGAUCGGAACCUUGUCAUAUGGGCCACACGAUUGAUGGACAGGAGCCAGUUCCGCCGAAUGGCAGAUCCAGCACUGCAGGGCCGGUAUCCGUCCAUGGAUUUGCAGGAGGCACUGAAAGUUGCUUACAUGUGCAUCCACAAACAGCCGGCCAUGAGAUCCCCCAUUGGCACCGCCGCCGCAGCGCUGUCUCGCCUUGCCGCCUGCGAUGAUCGUCCACCUGAAUCAUCACACCACGCGGCGCCACGUUAA